GCCAUUACUGACGCUGAUGCACGAAAGCGUGGGGAGCGAACAGGAUUAGAUACCCUGGUAGUCCACGCCGUAAACGAUGAUCACUCGCUGUUGGCGAUACACAGUCAGCGGCUAAGCAAAAGCAUUAAGUGAUCCACCUGGGGAGUACGGCCGCAAGGCUGAAACUCAAAGGAAUUGACGGGGGCCCGCACAAGCGGAGGAACAUGUGGUUUAAUUCGAUGAUACGCGAGGAACCUUACCUGGGCUUAAAUGUAGAGUGCAUGAGGUGGAAACACUUCUUCCCUUCGGGGCUUUUUACAAGGUGCUGCAUGGUUGUCGUCAGCUCGUGCCGUGAGGUGUCGGGUUAAGUCCCAUAACGAGCGCAACCCUUAUCGUUAGUUGCCAGCGGGUAAUGCCGGGGACUCUAACGAAACUGCCGGUGUAAACCGUGAGGAAGGUGGGGAUGACGUCAAAUCAGCACGGCCCUUAUGUCCAGGGCUACACACGUGUUACAAUGGCCGGUACAGAGGGCAGCUACCUGGAGACAGGAUGCGAAUCUCGAAAACCGGUCUCAGUUCGGAUCGGAGUCUGCAACUCGACUCCGUGAAGCUGGAUUCGCUAGUAAUCGCGCAUCAGCCAUGGCGCGGUGAAUACGUUCCCGGGCCUUGUACACACCGCCCGUCAAGCCAUGGAAGUUGGGGGUACCUGAAGUCCGUAACCGCAAGGAGCGGCCUAGGGUAAAACUAGUGACUGGGGCU
This 737-nucleotide ribosomal RNA is filed under the name uncultured bacterium. Its description in RNAcentral is "bacterial SSU rRNA". It matches the Rfam family "Bacterial small subunit ribosomal RNA", at positions 733 to 1482 of the family's 1533-position model. The record is from RNAcentral.